RNAcentral lists this long non-coding RNA (780 nucleotides) under Homo sapiens (human). Its description in RNAcentral is "novel transcript". Lineage: Eukaryota; Metazoa; Chordata; Mammalia; Primates; Hominidae. The record is from RNAcentral.
AGUACCAGAGAGCUGUGGUGAAAGACUAGAGUUUUAGGAGAGCUGAACUUGGGGAGGAGAGUGGCCGCUUGCAGCUGGCAUAGAGAACUUCCUAUGCCCAUGAGUUCCACCAGGACCCACUCCUCCAGGAAGCCCUCCUACACCACACUAUUUGGAAGGCCACUGGGGUUGGGGUCCUGCUGCCCCAUAGGCCCUGCUUUCUCUCCCAUGGCCCUUCUCCAGCAAGGACAGUGGGUCAGGCUCAUGGAAUAGCUGCAGAAGCCAUACCUCAUCAGGCCUCGGUUUCUCCAUCUGCCAAAUACGAAAAGGAAUCCUUGGCCUGGCUUCCUCCUAGGAGGAAAGGGGCAGGGGGGCUAUCAACAAAUCGACAGUGUCCCGUGGGGCUGGGGUGGGGCACCGCCUGAUGGUACAUGUCUGGGCUGCUGAGGGUCCUCAUGCUCCCUCCUUUGCAGGAGGGGAUGUGCCGUGAAAGUGGCUCCUGGUCAGCUGUCCUGGCCAUCCCACAGUCCCGGAGGAGGUCAGCAGACUUCAGCCAGGGUCUCAUGGAGCUGUAGGGAACACAAUGGCCCCACCCCAUGCAGACAGUAGGGCAUCCCCAGGAAGAGUCUCAGGGCUGGUGACAGCCUGAGAAGUGAAAGGGAGAAGCAGGACGCUGAGCAACGUUGGAGGAGAAGCAAGAUAACACUGUGCUUAGUGAAGGGGCUCCUAGCUUCACCACUGGCUGGCACAUGACUGGACCGCUCUGUGCCUCAGUUUCCUCAUCUGUGAAAAGAAGAGAGU